GGUGAUGUGGCAGCACAC
RNAcentral lists this small nuclear RNA (18 nucleotides) under Arabidopsis thaliana (thale cress). Its description in RNAcentral is "snRNA_05620". The record is from RNAcentral. Lineage: Eukaryota; Viridiplantae; Streptophyta; Magnoliopsida; Brassicales; Brassicaceae.